Pelobates cultripes (western spadefoot toad) is the source of this 327-nucleotide non-coding RNA. The record is from the annotation of a GenBank genome assembly. Lineage: Eukaryota; Metazoa; Chordata; Amphibia; Anura; Pelobatidae.
GCGUUUGGAACUGGAACAACUAUGUGGGUCAGUCCAGCACGUACUGGGAUAACCCCCAGUUGUCCAGGGGGAAAGUUGGAGUACAGCAGGACCACACAGAUAAUUUGAGAGAGAGAAAAGCGGCCGCCUCUUCUCAGAUCAGUCACCUGCAGAUCGUAACGUUUCUCCUCUACCUGUGGCUGAAUGUCCCAGGUAAGAUAUCAAUAGGUUUGCCUGGGAAUACCCCUCAUGUAGAUAGUACAAGUUGACAGUGGUGUCAGCUCCUUAGCCGGGGUUCUCCCCCGAAAAUCAACAAGAAAAAUGGGACCCUGUUCAGCACACGUCUAG